GGUGAGGUGGCCGAGUGGUCGAAGGCGCACGCCUGGAAAGCGUGUAACGGGUAACCGUUCGAGGGUUCGAAUCCCUCCCUCACCGCCA
RNAcentral lists this transfer RNA (88 nucleotides) under Halioglobus sp. Its description in RNAcentral is "tRNA-Ser". It matches the Rfam family "tRNA". From Rfam's summary of the family: Transfer RNA (tRNA) molecules are approximately 80 nucleotides in length. Their secondary structure includes four short double-helical elements and three loops (D, anti-codon, and T loops). The record is from RNAcentral. Lineage: Bacteria; Pseudomonadati; Pseudomonadota; Gammaproteobacteria; Cellvibrionales; Halieaceae.